GGUUAUGGCUCAGUGGUAGAGUGCUUGUCUUGCAUGUGCAAGACUCUGGGUUUGAUCCUCAGCACCA
Molecule: transfer RNA, 67 nt
Filed under: Marmota monax (woodchuck)
Lineage: Eukaryota; Metazoa; Chordata; Mammalia; Rodentia; Sciuridae
Description: tRNA.Ala
Source: RNAcentral